This 492-nucleotide ribosomal RNA is filed under the name uncultured bacterium. RNAcentral describes it as "partial 16S ribosomal RNA". It matches the Rfam family "Bacterial small subunit ribosomal RNA", at positions 29 to 507 of the family's 1533-position model. The record is from RNAcentral.
AGUGAACGCUGGCGGUAGGCCUAACACAUGCAAGUCGAACGGCAGCACAGUAAGAGCUUGCUCUUACGGGUGGCGAGUGGCGGACGGGUGAGGAAUACAUCGGAAUCUACUUUUUCGUGGGGGAUAACGUAGGGAAACUUACGCUAAUACCGCAUACGACCUACGGGUGAAAGCAGGGGUUCUUCGGACCUUGCGCGAUUGAAUGAGCCGAUGUCGGAUUAGCUAGUUGGCGGGGUAAAGGCCCACCAAGGCGACGAUCCGUAGCUGGUCUGAGAGGAUGAUCAGCCACACUGGAACUGAGACACGGUCCAGACUCCUACGGGAGGCAGCAGUGGGGAAUAUUGGACAAUGGGCGAAAGCCUGAUCCAGCCAUACCGCGUGGGUGAAGAAGGCCUUCGGGUUGUAAAGCCCUUUUGUUGGGAAAGAAAAGCAGCAGGUUAAUACCCCGCUGUUCUGACGGUACCCAAAGAAUAAGCACCGGCUAACUUCGUG